This 107-nucleotide non-coding RNA is filed under the name Pachysolen tannophilus. RNAcentral describes it as "TPP sequence". It matches the Rfam family "TPP riboswitch aptamer (THI element)". From Rfam's summary of the family: Vitamin B(1) in its active form thiamin pyrophosphate (TPP) is an essential coenzyme that is synthesised by coupling of pyrimidine and thiazole moieties in bacteria. The previously detected thiamin-regulatory element, thi box was extended, resulting in a new, highly conserved RNA secondary structure, the THI element, which is widely distributed in eubacteria and also occurs in some archaea. Analysis of operon structures identified a large number of new candidate thiamin-regulated genes, mostly transporters, in various prokaryotic organisms. The record is from RNAcentral. RNAcentral also lists the same sequence under 1 other name. Lineage: Eukaryota; Fungi; Ascomycota; Pichiomycetes; Alaninales; Pachysolenaceae.
UAUUUCAAAAGCGGGUGUCGAUAGAAAUUUAUAUUUCGUUGGCUGAGAUUAUACCGUUUGAACUCGAACAAGUUAAUGCUUGCGUGAGGAUUAUUAAAUAUUGUUGA